This is a non-coding RNA of Tinamus guttatus (white-throated tinamou), 199 nucleotides long. The record is from RefSeq and is a predicted model, not a curated record. Lineage: Eukaryota; Metazoa; Chordata; Aves; Tinamiformes; Tinamidae.
UAGAAUAUAUUGCUCUUCUGAGAGAAUGGCACAAACUGAAAUAAAAAUUUCAGACCUUCUACAGCACCGUCUCUUUGGAAGCUGGGGACAGAUGUCAAGAGACCCGGCUUUAUGUGCAGUUCUAGUGCUGCAUUUAUAGAGCUGUCAUCCACUUCUUUUAGGCUAUAUCCCACAUCCUUAAUGUCAAACAUUUGUGGCU